UACAGCGGUCAUAGGAAGGGGGUCACACCCGUUCCCGUCUCGAACACGGAAGUUAAGCCCCUUCACGACGCGGCGAGUACUAAGCUCUGCUUGGGAAAGCCCGUUGCUGCUGGCA
This 115-nucleotide ribosomal RNA is filed under the name Microcaldota archaeon. The record is from RNAcentral. Lineage: Archaea; Nanobdellati; Microcaldota.